GCCCUGGUAGAUCAGUUGGAAGAUCCUCCGCUUCAAGUAAUUCCAGUAUUUUCCUACCAAUUUCAGCGGACGACGCGGGUUCGAAUCCCGCCUGGGGCA
Molecule: non-coding RNA, 99 nt
Organism: Mycena polygramma
Lineage: Eukaryota; Fungi; Basidiomycota; Agaricomycetes; Agaricales; Mycenaceae
Source: the annotation of a GenBank genome assembly